This is a long non-coding RNA of Epinephelus fuscoguttatus (brown-marbled grouper), 1225 nucleotides long. RefSeq lists it as uncharacterized. Lineage: Eukaryota; Metazoa; Chordata; Actinopteri; Perciformes; Serranidae. The transcript is spliced from 3 exons. The record is from RefSeq and is a predicted model, not a curated record.
ACAGCACUGACUGGACAUGCAAUCAAGCAAACAUUAACUAGACUUUCAGUAAUAGCUACAAUGUAAAGUGCUUGUGUUCAUCUAUUCGAAGGGUAAUGACUUCACGAGAAUGCCCAAGGAUCAAUACUCACCCGCUUCAGCCCCGGAGCCCGACCGCACCUAGUCCCCGGAACCAGCCAGCUCUACCAGCCACGCCGUGCCCGGUAGUCGGUGUCCACUGACGCUAGCUGUUAGCAGCACUGCUGCUGCUGCUGCUGCUGCUGGAGGAGCCUGAGCGUUUCCAACAUGGCUGCAGCUGGUUGGGCUCACUGACAGGAGGAGAGAAGAGGAGAGGAGAGGAGAGGGGCCCUACGUGUCCACUGCUGCUGCUGCUGCUGCAGGGUCCCCCCAAUGUUUUUAUGUAAGACCCCUGUUUCACAUUAGCCUCCUCCAUUUAUCCUGACAAAUGAUGUCAUGGAGGGUGAAGCUCUCCAAUCUCAGUUUACUCCAAAUAAAUUACCUUGCACUGUGUAGCAGUGAUCAAAUUGAUGACUGUGAUUAGUGUCUUUACAGUGGUUAAACAGGGAGUAAUGAAUAUUUAUUAUCUCCUGCAGUAUGAGAAAAUAAUAUUGCCAGCUACAGUUUAAAUUUGAAUUUAAUGCUGUCAAUUAUGGCAAGUGUAGGUUCCACAACUGAAAGACUCAGUCGCCAGAAAUGUCCAUAAAAUCUGGGAAAACACCAGAGCUCACAUGAUGAUAAACCUAAUGAACCAGUGCUGAUUACAGGACACAGGAUACACACAUAAAAACAGCAUGAAACUAUUAUUCCUAAUAAAAAAUAUUGAUUAAAAGGGGACACAAGCCGUAAAAAAAAUGAUUAUAACAAUAGCGUAACAAAGUAAAAUUGAAUUAAAACUGGAGGUUACACCAAAGGGGAGCCAAAAUAAUCAGAGAAAGCCUGUGCACAGCUCCUGGGUGCCAAAAAGAAUAAAAGUUCCAGUCACACCAGGACACUCAGGUUGUCACUUAUUUUAUUAUCAGCUUACAUUUAAAAACAGUGAAAGAAGAGAACUACGUGUUUUAUAUCACUUCAGGGAAGCCCUUGGGCUGACACAACAUGGGCUUACUCGACAAAAUUACAGUAGCAAAAGAAAAUAUGUAAAGCACUAUAUACAUAUGUGACCAUAUUACAUCAUAUUUUCGACAUAAACAUUAAAAUAGAAAAUGUUACUGGGUUAAAGGAGCAG